UAGUCCACGCCGUAAACGAUGGACACUAGAUGUCGGGAGCACUUACUCUCUCGGUGUCGAAGCUAACGCGUUAAGUGUCCCGCCUGGGGAGUACGGCCGCAAGGUUAAAACUCAAAGAAAUUGACGGGGGCCCGCACAAGCGGUGGAGUAUGUGGUUUAAUUCGAUGCAACGCGUAAAACCUUACCUGGGUUUGAAAUCCCGCGCUAUCCUAGGAAACUAGGGGUUCUCUUCGGAGACGCGGUGACAGGUGCCGCAUGGCUGUCGUCAGCUCGUGUCGUGAGAUGUUGGGUUAAGUCCCGCAACGAGCGCAACCCUUGUCAUUAGUUGCCAGCAUUUAGUUGGGCACUCUAAUGAGACCGCUCGCCGAUAAGACAGAGGAAGGUGGGGAUGACGUCAAGUCCGCAUGGCCCUUACAUCCAGGGCUACACACGUACUACAAUGGCCGGUACAAUGCGCUGCGAUACCGCGAGGUGGAGCUAAUCGCACAAAGCCGGUCCCAGUUCGGAUUGGAGU
This 514-nucleotide ribosomal RNA is filed under the name uncultured bacterium. Its description in RNAcentral is "bacterial SSU rRNA". It matches the Rfam family "Bacterial small subunit ribosomal RNA", at positions 791 to 1304 of the family's 1533-position model. The record is from RNAcentral.